AAUUCUAAAGAACAUAAUAUUUUACAUUAAAGCAAAUACGAACAUUGUAGUGUUAUGUAAAAGUAAAUGUAAAUUACUUCGUGAUAUUUAUUUAUUUUUAUAUUUUAUUAAAUUAUGUUACGUAGUUUUAAGUAUUACAGUGGUUUUACUCUAGCCCGAAAAAAACAUACCGGAAAAGUGAUAGCCAUACGAAGAGAAGAUCAAUCAGUAUGGGAAAGAAGAGCCCCAUUUGCACCAGCCAACGUGGCCGAAUUAACCAAGAACGGCGUCAAAGUAAUCGUCCAACCGGCAAAUAGAAGAGCUUAUCCCGUUCAAGCAUAUGUAAACGCUGGAGCAGUGAUACAAGAAGACAUAUCGGAAGCGUCGGUGGUAUUUGGCGUAAAACAAGUCCCUGUCGAUUUGUUACUGCCGAACAAAACUUACUGCAUGUUCUCGCAUACAAUCAAAGCACAAGAGGCUAACAUGCCUCUGCUGGACGCUAUUUUGGAAAAAAACAUACGACUAAUAGAUUACGAAAAGCUGAUGGAUUCUUCAGGGAACAGAGUAGUGGCCUUUGGAAAAUAUGCCGGAAUUGCCGGUAUCAUAAAUAUUUUACACGGUUUAGGAUUGCGAUUGCUAGCUCUUGGACACCAUACACCACUAAUGCACAUUGGACCCGCCCACAAUUACCGGAAUUCAAUGAUGGCCAGGCAAGCGCUAAGAGACGCCGGAUAUGAGAUCGCGUUGGGAAUGAUGCCUAAAUCUAUAGGUCCGGUUACGUUUGUCUUUACUGGGUCGGGAAACGUGUCGCAAGGGGCACAAGAAAUAUUCCAAGAAUUACCACACGAAUACGUGCCACCAUCUAUGCUCCAAAAAGUUGCAGAACAUGGAGGCAGUACCAAGUUUUACGCAUGUGUAGUCACGCGUAAAGAUUAUUUGGAAAGAAUUGAUGGCGGAGGAUAUAACCAAGAAGAAUAUGAACAAUAUCCGUCUAAGUACAGAUCAACGUUCAACAAAAAGAUCGCUCCGUAUGCUUCGGUCAUUAUCAACGGCAUAUACUGGGCUCCGGAUUGUUCCAAACUAUUGACGGUGCCAGAUGCAAAGUCGCUGCUCACUCCUUCUCAGCUCCCAUGGAUACCAAUAUCCGAAGGCGCACCAGGACUUCCGCACAGGUUACUGGGUAUCUGUGAUAUAUCUGCAGACCCGGGUGGUUCUAUAGAGUUCAUGAACGAGUGCACGACAAUUGACAAUCCAUUUUGCCUGUACGACGCACAUUUACACAAAGACACCAAAAGUUUCAGAGGCUCGGGAGUGUUAGUGUGUUCAAUAGAUAAUAUGCCUACGCAACUACCAAUGGAAUCCACAGACUUAUUUGGAAACCUAGUACUUCCAUACGCCAUGAAUAUACUUCAAUCGGAUGCCACUAAACCACUGGAAGAGGAAACUUUUUCCCCAGCCGUUCUAGGAGCUAUCAUCGCCAGCAACGGAUCACUGACCGAACGGUUUGAAUACAUCAAAGAGUUGCGGCUAGCCAAUAAAUUCGCUUCCUCUAAGUCCUCCAACGUUGAUCAUACUGGCAAAAGAGUAUUGGUACUCGGUUCAGGUCACGUGUGUGGACCGUUAAUCGAAUAUCUUUUAAAAGAUGAAUCCUUAAUAAUUAUACUCGGUUCUGUGGACAUGAGUGGAGCCAACAGCUUGGCAAACAAGUUUAAUCGAGUUCAGCCAACUCAAAUAAAUAUUUUGGAGGACUUAAGUUACUUGAAAGAACUUGUUGGACAGUCUGAUUUGGUUGUGUCGCUUCUCCCUAGUCAAUUUCACCACUUGGUUGCUGAACAGUGUAUAGAAUUGAAAAAGAACAUGGUAACGGCUUCAUAUUGUUCAGAUAAAAUGUCACAGCUGCACGACAAAGCCGUUGAAGCUGGUAUAACCGUUGUCAAUGAAGUUGGUUUAGACCCGGGUAUUGACCAUUUGUUGGCUAUGGAAUGCAUCGAUCAGAUACACGAAGAAGGUGGUAAGAUCGACUCGUUCGUAUCGUAUUGUGGGGGUUUGCCGGCUCCCGAAUACUCCAACAAUCCACUGAGAUACAAGUUCUCGUGGUUUCCUCGCGGAGCGCUUGUAAAUACCGUAGCUGAAGCCAAAUACCUACAAAAUCACGAAAUAAUUGAUAUACCUGCCGGUGGAGCUUUAAUGAACAGCACGACGGAAUUAGAUUUCUUACCUGGAUUUUCGUUUGAAGGUUUCCCAAAUCGGGACAGCACUCGAUACGCCAAACUUUACGGCAUAGCAGCGGAAGUACAGACCAUGCUCAGGGGUACGAUACGGUAUAAAGGUUUUUCUGAGAUGAUGAUGAUACUGCAAAAAUUGCGCCUUAUUGAUUCUAAGGACCACGCUGUCCUCCACCCAAACGGGCCUGACAUCACGUGGUGUCAGUUAAUUUGCACGCUAUUGGAGAUCAAUGACACUGACAUGUUUUACGAAAAUUUGUUGUCGAAAGUGGCUGAUAAAAUCGGACCAUCAGUCCUAGACAAAGUCAUGGAUUUAGGGCUAUUAACAGAGGAACCAGUCUUAAAACUCGGCUCACCAUUAGACACGUUUUCACAAUUUAUCGCUUCAAAAUUGUCUUUAAUUUUACUUACACAGAUAAAGACGAAAGAGACCUGGUGGUAUUAUACCACGACAUCGGAGUUCUGUGGCCCGGUAAUCGGUACGAAAAGAAAUUGGUAACGCUCGUGUCUUACGGCGAGACCAAUGGAUACACAGCAAUGGCGAAAACAGUUGGAAUACCGACGGCAAUAGCAGCUACUAUGGUCCUCCAAGGAGAAAUUCAAGCUAAGGGCAUGGUGUUACCAUUCACCCCGGAUAUUUACAGGCCCAUGUUGACGAGAUUAAGGCUUGAAGGGAUAUCUGCACAAACCACGAAUGUUCGGUCAUGAUUUUAUUAUAUUUUUCGUAUCAAAUGAAAUGUUUUAUUGGUUUUUUUUUUUUUUUUUAACGUCAUUGUAUAAUAUGAUAUAAUAUUUGUCAUAUCAAUUCGUAUUAAGUAUAUAGCUUGUUUUUAUACGUAAAAUAAUAUACAACCAUUAUACCUAAUCAA
Molecule: RNA transcript, 3073 nt
Organism: Aphis gossypii (cotton aphid)
Lineage: Eukaryota; Metazoa; Arthropoda; Insecta; Hemiptera; Aphididae
Gene: LKRSDH
Gene name: alpha-aminoadipic semialdehyde synthase, mitochondrial
Exons: 17
Source: RefSeq, a predicted model, not a curated record